GUAGCCCUGAAUCAAGGCCCGCAGUUUGCUGUAGCUGUUGGUUUCAAACAGUGGCUUAUACAAAAGUCUUCUAAUGGUCUGUUUACUUCCCAGAAUUAUCUAAUGGUGAAGUCCAUUCUGUUUGAAGGAACAGUU
Molecule: small nucleolar RNA, 135 nt
Organism: Rhinichthys klamathensis goyatoka
Lineage: Eukaryota; Metazoa; Chordata; Actinopteri; Cypriniformes; Leuciscidae
Source: RefSeq, a predicted model, not a curated record